CUGGCAGCUGGGAGUUUUCUGUUAACUCUCCCCGCGCCUGCUGCCUCUGCUGUGUCUGCAGCCAGACCAUUUCCCCGUGAGCCUCACGGUUCCCGUGACUGUGACACCUAACUGCAAACAGUAGGAGGCAAGGCCACGUUUUCUUCCUGAUGGGGACGUCUGUCUCUGCCCAGGUUCUCUUGGUCCUGCCCCUCCCAGCCCUUUCUGGGGGCCAGUUGCCGUGUCUUUUGCAGCCCCGCAUCAGGAGCCUGACCUCUCGGGUGGAUCCCAGUCUCGGUUCUCCUCCCUGAGGCCUCACCAGGGUGUGUCUCUGUCUCUGGGUCUGUGGUGCCCCCUCGCCCUGCCUGGCCCAGAGCCUCAAGUCAGCUGGCCGUUCCUGUCCUUCCCUUGUGUCCUGCAUUUCUAGAGGGAGUGUUUCCACCUUCUUUUCGUCAGCCCUCAUCCCGCAUCCCUCCACCACCUCCCUGGAUGCAGUAGCUGAGGAACAGCGUGGGCUCAACUGAGUCGUUUUUGUUGCUCUGGGCUGGGCCUCUGAAGUCCUAGUGGCCUUGUUUUGCAGCUGGGGAUAGGUUUGUCCCCCAGGGGCAACUGGCAAUGCCUGGGACAGUUUCAGUGCCAUCCGGGAUGGGCAUGGAUGCAACAGCAUCUAGCCCCCAGGAUGCUGCUGACCAUCUUGCGAUGUCCAGAAGAGCCCUCACCGCAAAGCACCUGGCUCUGUUCACAGUGCCCUCCUGGGCUGCCUCGUCCUGCAGCAUGGCUCUUUCUUAG
This 768-nucleotide long non-coding RNA is filed under the name Marmota monax (woodchuck). The record is from RNAcentral. Lineage: Eukaryota; Metazoa; Chordata; Mammalia; Rodentia; Sciuridae.